Molecule: transfer-messenger RNA, 403 nt
Filed under: Patescibacteria group
Lineage: Bacteria
Also listed under: 1 other name
Description: JAGOQX01 sp018063105 Standard tmRNA
Rfam family: transfer-messenger RNA
About the family: Bacterial tmRNA, also known as 10Sa RNA or SsrA, is named for its dual tRNA and mRNA-like properties. Its role is to liberate the mRNA from a stalled ribosome.
Source: RNAcentral
GGGGAUGCCUAGUUUCGACGGACGUGGAUCUUUUAACCUGCAGAUUGAGCUGGGACCCCUCAUAAAACGAUCCCAAUACACGACAACUGCCAACGUCAUGUCCAAGGUAGAGGCCGCGAUUGCUUCGGCAUUCCGCGUCUCCUCACCUGCAAUGGUUCUCGCUUAAACCUAAGCCGAGACCACGCUCCCCUACGAUGCUGCCCGACAGCGCGGGACCGAGCGUCAUAUUUCGGGCUUGAGUACAGAUCCUCGCAUCCUAUCUGUACUGACCUGGCGGAUGCGGUAGACGCACGUAUUUCGUUCGCUCUCUAGCGCGCGCUCUCCAUCCCAUAAGCGAACUAUAUCUGUAGAUGGUUACCUGGUUACGGCCCGGACGGGGGUGCAACUCCCCCCAUCUCCACCA